RNAcentral lists this long non-coding RNA (460 nucleotides) under Durio zibethinus. RNAcentral's name for it is "long non-coding RNA (DZIB_LNC000058)". The record is from RNAcentral. Lineage: Eukaryota; Viridiplantae; Streptophyta; Magnoliopsida; Malvales; Malvaceae.
AAUGUUAAAUAUGGUAUUAGCAUAACCCUUCAAAUCUAACUAAAAAUGAUUCUCUUAAACAAAUAAUUAUUAGUGUGAUUAGAAAAAAAAAAUCCGUGAACUGACCUUCCCGAUAUUAAUUACUGGCGGAUACUGUUUUAAGGAAACUAUCAUUUGGUUUUUGAUUGGCCACCAAAUCUAGUACUCCCAACAUCAGACAAUCAAAACCCUCCAUCUGAUCCUCCAAAUACAUCUGACGGCUGAGAAAAUAUUGUGGGGGCGGGGGUGAUUUGGGUCAAUAGUGAUGAAUGAACGUGGGACCUAGGAAGGAAGAAAGGACGAGGCCCCGACAUGAUGUUGGGUGACGGUUGAGGAUGUCCCCACGUGAGUGCGUGAAACCUCCCCACGCGUCCCUUCCAUAAUGAUUUACUACAGACUAGCCGGAAUACCCUUCAUGGGUUUAUUGAUUGUAAUAAAAUAU